Molecule: long non-coding RNA, 1611 nt
Organism: Felis catus (domestic cat)
Lineage: Eukaryota; Metazoa; Chordata; Mammalia; Carnivora; Felidae
Exons: 3
Source: RefSeq, a predicted model, not a curated record
GAAGAGGCACCAGGGACGCGGUUACACAGAGAAAGGCCGUGUGCGGACCCUGAAGGUGGCCGUCUGGAAACCAACCAGACAGGCCUCAGGAGAACUGAGAGCUGCCACAUCAUGGAGGUUCCAGCCUCCAGAGCUAUGAAAAAGUCAAUUACUCUUCCCACACUUGCUCACCCUUGGACUUACUGCAUUAAUAUCAGCUUAGCAAUAUCUACUUGUCGAGUAUGGGCUGUGUACAGAGGACCAUGUGAGAGAGUAAAAAAGAAAAUACAUCAUCCCAGGAUUUGAGUCACUAACUCAGCUCUGCUCUCUUCUACAACCCCAUGAAAGAUGGUAACUCCAUCUGUCCUGCAAACUUUCAGCCGACUUCAUUACAAAAAUACCCCAGGACCAAAGCCAGAGCUAAUGAGCAUCUUAGACCAUUUGGAAGAAGAAAGGCUAUUUUUUGGCUGAGGAUAAUUGAGCUUCACUUCAAAUCAGAAUCUAAGCUAUUAUUUUCUCUGUACUGAAUCCAAAUCACUGAGAUUCCUGAAGUUUGUCCAUGGUUAUUGUCCACCUGAUGCCAAAAUAUUCUGAUGAAAAGCGAAACAUUCAGCCAGUUGUGUGAAUUCUUUGUCCUGAAAUCUAAAAGCUCAGCCAUCUGGCAGGAUAGCAGAACAGCUGAACAGUCAACUGAUGCUCCUGCUGUAGAUUGAGAGGCCAUAAGAAUUGUGCAGAUAAGAUCUCCUGCAAAAAUCAAAAUGCAAAGGCCCAAUGCCAAUGUCCCUCAUUAUUGAUAAAGUGGGAUCCACAGCAUUAAAAUCAUGGAAGUUUGGAGUAAAAAGGAAUCCUGUCCAACUGCCUCUGUUUACAGAUAAAGAAAUUGAGGCAGCUCGCAUCCAUCGUUUCAAACCUUGACCAGAUGCCCUCUCCUCUGGGGAACUUUUCUUCACUUCCCCCAGGCUGCUAUCUGCUCUGGCUCCCACAGCUAACUACCAGCACUCACCCCCUCACAUCCAAUUUAUCUGCUUGUGCAUCUGUUUCCUCUACUUACACUGUAAAACUCCCAAAGACUAGGGCCAACAGCUCUGUACCCUAAAAUUCUAGCCCCAAGAAUGUUCUCAAAGAAAGACUGUUGGAUGAGCUUGGGGUGAGAAUCUGAAUCAAUGUGCACUCCAAAUACAUUCUUUCUCCACGCCUAUGUUGAAAUGGUAGUAGCGAAAUUCAACAGAAAUUCUAGACGUACAAUUCGUCCUAAGCACUAAAAUCUGAGGUCUCGCGUUCUUCAGACAAAAAGAACACCAGUAAAGCAAACUGUAGUGAGCCAACACAGUUCCUGGUAUAUAACAUGAAUAUUGUAAUUUAGAGAAAUUAAAACACAAUAAUAAACAUUUGCUGUGUUGGUAUCAACUUACACAUAAUAGUAGUAGCAACUAACGUGUGAGUAUUUACCAUAUACAAGGCGCUAUUCUGAGAAAUAUAUGUUUAACAUAAUUGUAUUUUAUGUUUAUCACUGAAACUACAUAGAACUUGAGGUUACAUUUUUAGACUGAUCCUUGCAUCUCCUCUACCUGUGGAUAAAUGAAAACAAAAAAGAUGUAUGUUAACUAAACUUAUUGCAGUCAUCAUUUUGAA